GAUGAACGCUGGCGGCGUGCCUAAUACAUGCAAGUCGAGCGAAUGGAUUAAGAGCUUGCUCUUAUGAAGUUAGCGGCGGACGGGUGAGUAACACGUGGGUAACCUGCCCAUAAGACUGGGAUAACUCCGGGAAACCGGGGCUGAUACCGGAUAACAUUUUGAACCGCAUGGUUCGAAAUUGAAAGGCGGCUUCGGCUGUCACUUAUGGAUGGACCCGCGUCGCAUUAGCUAGUUGGUGAGGUAACGGCUCACCAAGGCAACGAUGCGUAGCCGACCUGAGAGGGUUAUCCGCCACACUGGGACAAGGACACGGCCAAGACUCCUACGGGAGGCAGCAGUAGGGAAUCUUCCGCAAUGGACGAAAGUCUGACUGAGAAACGCCGCGUGAGUGAUGAAGGCUUUCGGGUCGUAAAACUCUGUUGUUAGGGAAGAACAAGUGCUAGUUGAAUAAGCUGGCGCCUUGACGGUACCUAACCAGAAAGCCACGGCUAACUACGUGCCAGCAGCCGCCGUAA
This 515-nucleotide ribosomal RNA is filed under the name uncultured bacterium. Its description in RNAcentral is "partial 16S ribosomal RNA". It matches the Rfam family "Bacterial small subunit ribosomal RNA", at positions 28 to 523 of the family's 1533-position model. The record is from RNAcentral.